GGGGGUUGAAUAAACAUUUCUCUUAUAACGAUCAAACAAUUAUAUUUUUACGAAAAAAUUUUGUUGAUCUUCAAGUAUAGCUUUUCGGCCCUCAAUCUUCCAAACACACAAUUAGUCAAUGCGCUCUUAAUACUUGAUUUAUAGUGGCAAAUUAUCAAGGAAAUUUUGCAACUUGGUUCUAGGUUGGCUAUGAUCAUGUAUAAAUGGUAUCCAACUUAUUAAUUUGGGCUUAACAUCCAAUUUCUUAUAGAAAUCUAUAAGGAAAUUCAGGAACUAGGGUACUUUUAGGCAUAAUGAGAGAACUUUUACAUUAUUUAUGUACUAAUAGGUUAGAUUUCAAUAAUUCUAAGAGCUACUCUGC
This 361-nucleotide long non-coding RNA is filed under the name Olea europaea (common olive). RNAcentral's name for it is "long non-coding RNA (OEUR_LNC011187)". The record is from RNAcentral. Lineage: Eukaryota; Viridiplantae; Streptophyta; Magnoliopsida; Lamiales; Oleaceae.